RNAcentral lists this transfer RNA (87 nucleotides) under Pseudomonadota bacterium. RNAcentral's name for it is "Proteobacteria bacterium tRNA-Leu". It matches the Rfam family "tRNA". From Rfam's summary of the family: Transfer RNA (tRNA) molecules are approximately 80 nucleotides in length. Lineage: Bacteria; Pseudomonadati; Pseudomonadota. The record is from RNAcentral.
GCCGAUGUGGCGGAAUUGGUAGACGCGCUAGCUUGAGGGGCUAGUGAGGGAAACCUCGUGCCGGUUCGAGUCCGGCCAUCGGCACCA